GACGAACGCUGGCGGCGUGCUUAACACAUGCAAGUCGAACGGUAAGGCCCCAGCUUCCUGUGGUACACGAGUGGCGAACGGGUGAGUAACACGUGGGUGACCUGCCCCGCACUUCGGGAUAACCCUGGGCAACUGCGUCUACUACCUGAGAGGACCGCACCGUGGGGGUGUGGUGGCAAGUUUUUCGGUGUGGGAUGGGCCCUGGGCCUAUCAGCUUGUUGGUGGGGUAAUGGCCUACCAAGGCGGCGACCGGUAGCCGGCCUGAGAGGGUGGACGGCCACCUUGGGCCUGAGAGACGGACCAGACUCCUACGGGAGGCAGCAGGGGGGAAUAUUGCACAAUGGGCGGAAGUCUGAUGCGGAGACGCCGCGUUGGGGAUGACGGCCUUCGGGGUGUAAACUCCUUUAACCAUAGACGAAGGUUUUCUGACGGUAGAUGGAGAAGAAGCACCGGCUAACUACGUG
RNAcentral lists this ribosomal RNA (464 nucleotides) under uncultured bacterium. RNAcentral's name for it is "partial 16S ribosomal RNA". It matches the Rfam family "Bacterial small subunit ribosomal RNA", at positions 28 to 507 of the family's 1533-position model. The record is from RNAcentral.